This 234-nucleotide unclassified non-coding RNA is filed under the name plant metagenome. RNAcentral describes it as "partial contains small subunit ribosomal RNA, internal transcribed spacer 1, and 5.8S ribosomal RNA". The record is from RNAcentral.
UCUCCGUUGGUGAACCAGCGGAGGGAUCAUUACCGAGUUAUUCUACUCCCAGACCCCUGUGAACUUGUACCAUUACUGUUGCUUCGGCGGGUUGACGCCCCGGAAGGCCAGCGAGAGCCGCCGGAAACACGCUCCCGCCGGGGGACCUAAACUCUUGUAUCUUUUUUAUAGCAUGUCUGAGUGGAUUCAUAAACAAAUGAAUCAAAACUUUCAACAACGGAUCUCUUGGUUCUG